RNAcentral lists this ribosomal RNA (244 nucleotides) under uncultured bacterium. RNAcentral describes it as "partial 16S ribosomal RNA". It matches the Rfam family "Bacterial small subunit ribosomal RNA", at positions 15 to 256 of the family's 1533-position model. The record is from RNAcentral.
GAUCAUGGCUCAGAUUGAACGCUGGCGGCAGGCUUAACACAUGCAAGUCGAACGGUAACAUAAAGAAGCUUGCUUCUUUGAUGACGAGUGGCGGACGGGUGAGUAAUGCUUGGGAAUCUAGCUUAUGGAGGGGGAUAACUACGGGAAACUGUAGCUAAUACCGCGUAAUAUCGAGAGAUUAAAGUGUGGGACCUUGGGCCACAUGCCAUAGGAUGAGCCCAAGUGGGAUUAGGUAGUUGUGGGG